GCGCACCAGGCGCGAAUACUUCACACUGUGCGAAAGCACGAUGAGGGAAUCCCAAGUGCUUGCACGUAAGUGUAAGCUGUUUCUCUGUUUAAAACGCAGAGAGAGUAAGGGCUGGGUAAGACGGGUGCCAGCCGCCGCGGUAAUACCUGCAGCUCAAGUGGUGACCGUUAUUAUUGGGCCUAAAACGUCCGUAGCCGGUUUAAUAAAUGCCUGGGUAAAUCGUGUAGCUUAACUAUACGAAUUCCGGGUAGACUGUUAAACUCGAGACCGGGAGAAGUC
This 279-nucleotide ribosomal RNA is filed under the name uncultured microorganism. RNAcentral describes it as "partial 16S ribosomal RNA". It matches the Rfam family "Archaeal small subunit ribosomal RNA", at positions 330 to 610 of the family's 1478-position model. The record is from RNAcentral.